UACGGGGGGGGCAAGCGUUGUUCGGAAUUACUGGGCGUAAAGGGCUCGUAGGCGGCUAACUAAGUCCGACGUGAAAUCCCAAGGCUUAACCUUGGAACUGCGUCGGAUACUGGAUGGCUUGAAUUCGGGAGAGGGAUGCAGAAUUCCAGGUGUAGCGGUGAAAUGCGUAGAUAUCAAGAGGAACACCUGAGGUGAAGACGGGUUGCUGGGCUGACACUGACGCUGAGGCGCGAAAGCCAGGGGAGCAAACGGG
This 253-nucleotide ribosomal RNA is filed under the name uncultured bacterium. RNAcentral's name for it is "partial 16S ribosomal RNA". It matches the Rfam family "Bacterial small subunit ribosomal RNA", at positions 524 to 776 of the family's 1533-position model. The record is from RNAcentral.